This is a long non-coding RNA of Fukomys damarensis (Damara mole-rat), 2363 nucleotides long. RefSeq lists it as uncharacterized. The record is from RefSeq and is a predicted model, not a curated record. The transcript is spliced from 3 exons. NCBI's taxonomy places the organism in Eukaryota, Metazoa, Chordata, Mammalia, Rodentia, Bathyergidae.
GGCAGGCUGGGGUGGGGUGGUAAAGGAGGAAAGACUAUAUCUAAGUUAAGCAAUGACAGAGACUUGAAAACGGGAUUUGGGGCGGGGGCUGGGGCUCAGUGGCAGAGUGCUUGCCUAGUGGGUGCAGAGCCUUGCGUCCCAUCCCUACCCAGCACCAGCUAUGCAAAACAGAAAGGUGCUUUAGACCGUACCGCCACUCUGGGGCGGGGCUGGACGGAGGCCAGGAGGGACGGCAGCGGGCAAGGCCGGGUGGGGCCCUGGACUGGUUCUGGCCUAGGCUGGAGGGCAGCGGAGGGGGCGUGACGGGGGCGUGGCGUCCCCCUGCCCCGCCCCCGCAUUGGCAGUUGCUGUGCAGGAAAGAGGAGCCUGCCCCAGGGGCUGGGGAGCUGGGACAACCUGUUCUGGAGGCGCAGCCCGGAAGCGCCUGUGCAGGUGGCCUGGUCUCCGGGUUCCUCUUUGCCUCUGAAGUCUGGAAGGGGAAUUCAGCAAGAAGGACGCAGUCUGGAGCUGGCUCAACCUCCUCAUAGGGGCCUGUGCGAGCAGGGCUUUUCUGUCCCUCCUGGGCGCCUUCCUCCUCCUCUGUCCUACCGGAGCUCUGGACCCUGACCCGGGCUAUCGCCCUCUGCAGAAGCCUGAGCUGUGGGCCUGGUGUGAGCCCACUUCUCCAGCGACAUCUCAGGGGCUGGUGUCUCUCUGGCCAUGCGGGUCCCAGGGCCUGGUCCGUGACCUCGGCAGCCUCCAGAUCCGCCCCCCAACCAUUGGUGGGGAUCUGGUGGUCGGGAGCAGCUCCUUGUGCAAGGGAAGUGAGCAGACUGAGAAACCGUGGUCCCACCCCAACUCUCGAAGCCAGAUAUCCACCUGAGAUUUUCCCCUCUUGGAUCUUUCCUGCUUAACCACACUUGAAACACCCUCUUUGCGUGUGGAAAACGGCUUUCGCGGUCCCCGCAGAUAGCAGGUGAGAGCCGUUACACGGCUGGGCUGGGCUCGUUUUAGGGAAGUAGCUUUUUGUUUUGUUUUUUUUUUAAGCUCUGACAACCAGAAGCCUCUCUCAGGUGGAGCCAUGGCACAAACGUCGUGAACAAAGGCCACUUGUGGGUCUGUGCGGAACUCUGCCGUCUCCCGUUUCUACAGAAACUGCUUGUAGGUGGGCGGCCCGGCGAGCACGCUUCCCCAUUUCCAUCCGUCCGGUUCUUCUCGCACCUAGACCUGUGGCUGCUCACUUGAUAAAGCCCAACGGUUAGGGGAAGUCACCGUCAUCGCAGCCCUGGGCUUCAGGAACCAAGUCCUCACCCUCUGCCCCUGCGCCCUUUCAAAAUAACCUCUGCUCAGGGGCCCAGCUGGCCGAGGGCACUGGGGACUGUCCUGGAGGUGGGGACCUCAGAUGAGCCGCGGGGACUGUUGCCAUGGAGACUAUCCAUCACGACGGAAGCCCGGGGGAGGGGCUGGGCCGGAGAACGCGAGGAAAUCACCUGCUUUUCAAUAACUUGUUGGCAUGAGAGCCUCUCCGGCUUUGGUUGCUGGGUCUCCCUGAGCUAAGCUAGAAUGGGAUGGAUCAAAGAUCUAAAUAUUAAAACAGAAACUCUUAACGCGCUGGAAGAUCAAAUAGGCAAGACUCUCUCGAAGACACAGCCACGUAGGUGAGGCCUUUCUGAACAGAACUCUAACUGCACAAAAAAUAACUUCAAAGGUCAACGAAUGGGGUCUCAGUAGAUUAAAAGCCUUCAGCACAGCAAAGGAAACAGCCAACAGAGGGAGGAAACAGCCCGCAGAAUGGGAAGAAAGUUUUGCCAGUUACUCUUUGAACAGAGCAGUAACAUACAACUAUAAAUAUAAAGAACUACAGGGAAGGGUGGAGGGGUUGAAGGGAGGCCAGGGGAAUGGGGGGAAGACCAAGAAUGGAAAGGUGCAAAUUUACCAUUAUGAAUGUCAUUAUAUUGGAAAGAAGUAAAAAGAAAAUCAGCCUCCUCAAAGUAACAGAGGCAACCAAAAUGAACAGACAAUUGUCAGAAAAGUGCAACGGUGAAUAAAUGUAUGAAAAAACAUUCAGCAUCUCCAGCCAUCAGCGAAGUGCAAAUUACAACAACACGGAGACUCCAUCUCACCCCAGGAAGAACGGCCACCACCAAGACAUCGAAUGAGCACCAAUGCUGGUGGGGCUGUGGGGGACAGGAGCCCUCCCACCUGGCCAGUGGGCGUGUAAGUCAGUGUGGACACCGGUGUGGAGAUUCCUCAGGAAGCCAAAGCUAGAAAUUUCCAUUUAACCCACCCAUUCCCCUUCCGGAAGAGUUAAAGACGGUGAUCCAUGUGCACUCACAUCUGCAGCAGCAUGAUUCAUAAUAACUACAUCUUGGAAGCAGCCUGCA